Long non-coding RNA from Ictalurus punctatus (channel catfish), 6053 nucleotides. RefSeq lists it as uncharacterized. Lineage: Eukaryota; Metazoa; Chordata; Actinopteri; Siluriformes; Ictaluridae. The record is from RefSeq and is a predicted model, not a curated record. The transcript has 5 exons.
UGUGUGUGAAGCAAACCUAACACUGCCCAUUCCUCAACAAACUCCAUCCUAACAGUGAAGUACACUGUUGACCAAAAGCUUGUGGACACCUGACCAUCAAACCCAUAUGGGGGUCUUCCCCAAAUUGUUGGCACAAAAUUGGAAGCACACAAUUUUACAACCCCCAUAUGACAGGAGUGAAACAUACCUCAAACAAAUUAAAUGAAGUUGUUUUAUGUAAGGUUGUUUUCAUUUUUUUGUUGAUGAUUCCAUAAUUUUUUCCUCAACAUUGAGUGAUUCCAUAUUUUUUUCCUCUACUUGAUCUGGAACAAAAACGUGCCAUUAAUUAAAAUUAUUUCAUUUAAUUUGUUUGACGUAUGUUUCACGAAGCCAGAAUGUUCAGCAAUUAAACAAAAAAUGUUUUCUGUCAAGAAAGUAAAAAUGGCAACAAUUUAUUACCUAUUUCAAUGAUGUACGCAUCCUGGAGGUGGAUUGAGUGAAGGUAGACGGUAAAUACUAAUCAUCUUACUUUUAAUCUUUUUUUUUAAUUGUUUGUUUGUUUUUUGGUUUGUUUGUUUGUUUUUGUUUUUGUUUUUGUUUGUUUGUUUGUUGUGUUUUUUCCCCCCUUUCUUUUGGUUUUGGCUGUGAUUAUUUUGUUGGGGCCAGGUAUGGUGGGGUUGUUGGAUGGGGUGUUAUAAUAUGUAAAAUGCGGUUUUCCAAUAAAAAUUCUAUGAUAAAUUUUUUUUUUAAAAAUAGACCAUUGGUGUACACUGACUAUAAUCAGGGGCAGAGCUAGGGGGUGGAAAGUUGUGGCCAUGGCCACCAUGGACUGAAGCCUGGCCCCAUUGGCCACCCAAGUUGCAACUGCAUUUUCAGGCCUUUUUGUCUUAAGAAUAAUUAAUGUUUCUUAGUGAUAGAUUAAUCUCUUUACUGCCACAACACAUAAUGUUUCUCCAACUUGGACUGUGUGUUUUACGGCAAAUCUAUGAACCCACCUUUGCUGUAAAACAUUUGUGAGAUUCAUCUUCAUGGUGUUUAAUAGAAGACUAUAAGCUCUUGCGAGAGUUUCUGCAGUCCAUGUUUCAACGAGCCAGUGGAAGUCCUACCCUUAUUGUAUGAGUGCGUCAUUACAGGUGAGCUAAAAUCAUCCAUCCAUCCAUCCAUCCAUCUUCUACACCGCUUAUCCUUUUGAGGGUCAUGGGGAAACCAGAAGCCUAUCCCAGAAAGCAUCGGGCACAAGGCGGGGUACACCCUGGACAGGGUGCCAAUCUGAGCUAAAAUCAACAAAUUUUUAUUGUUUUUAAUGCUUUGUAAAAAAAAAUUUUUUUACUAAAAUAGCUGAACAUUGGAGAUUGAACUGUUAAUGCAUGGUGCCUUAUUGCUCAAAUCAACAUAAAAUUCAUUGGUUUUUUAGUGACAUUCACCCAGAUUUCUGGAGACACAAGACGUCUCUCUAAAAUGCUUCAGUCUCUAUCUCUUAUUUUGGGCUCAGCUGGGGAUCUAGUUGAAGCCCUUAUGCAUCGUUUUCACAAUUAAAGGGAUGAAUCCUACUUUUGAGGACUUUGGAAAGAUGUCUUAAAUACUGCUGAACAAUGCAAUGUUAAGACUUAACCAAUUCCUAAAAGAAAGUCAAAACCAAGAAUAAAGCUGCAAGGAUACAGGAUACAUAAUGGCUUAUUAAGUGAGCGUUUUGAGAUUACAAAGGACAACUUUUGCACCGGUACAUUCUACCCUCGUCUCGAUUAUAUGCUGAGUGAGCUAAACAGACGAUUCUCAAAAGAAAAUGGUGAAAUUAUGAUGGGAAUCCAAGUGUUAAAUCCCAAAAGUGCCAUUUUUUGCCAAGAAGAAGCACUGUUUUCCUUUGACUCUGUUUAUGAAUGCAACACUAGAGACCUCAGACAUGAAGUUCACCAAAUGAAAUGAAUUCUGGAGAGGAAAGUGCAAGCUGGCAUACAGAAGAACUAGUGUAAUAGAACUAACUCACUCUGCUUACUGAGGCUUUUAAAGAAGUAUUCCAUGAGCUUUUUAGAUUGUACAAGAUUGCAGUUGCCAUACCUGUGAGUGCAGCUGCAUGUACACGCAGCUUCUCCACUCUCAAGCUGGUUAAGACUUACCUGCAUUCAACCAUGGAUGAUGAUAGGCUGAGCAAAGUCCUUGAACCUAGAUGAGUUUGUGAAUAUCUUUGCUUUAAACAACAACAAUCACAGAAUCCAGCUGAUGAAGUUGAAAAUUGAAGAUAGUGUGAUUUGUCAUUGGUUUAAUCAACAACGAUAUGAACAGAUUUGAAUUCAAUACGGAGUUGACAGGCUUUUGUGGUCUUUUUAAAAUGAUGCUUUUGCAGCUUUGGGAGAUAUUACACUUAUUCUGAACCCAGAAAUCAUAUGAAAGAUUUCGGAUCCUAUGUAGUUUUUCGCUCUAACAGCACCAUAAGUUAACCAGAAGAUUUUGAGCAUAAUGACUUUCUUUCAUGAAACACAAAAGGAUAUGUAAGGCAGAAUGUUAGUCUCAAAUCACUAUUGUGACUGAGGUUAACAUUCUGCCUUACAUCUCUUUUUGGGUUUCACGGAGGAAGUACAUCAUACGGGCUUGGAACAAUUUUCAUUUUUGUGUGAACUAUCACUUUAUUUACAAACAAGUACGAUUAAUUAUUUUUGUUUGUACUAUGUGCACCUAAAAAAGCUUAGAAUUUUAAGGUUGAACACAUUCUUUUAUUUGUAAAAUGACAUUUUCUGUACCACCCCGGAGUGACUGCUGGCCGGUGACUGGCCACCCCUGCAAAAACUUAUAGUUAUUCAGUUCUUCUCUGCAGACUCCUUCAGCUCCCAGUCUGAGGUAUUGUACAGUGCUGCAGCUGACACACACACACACACACACACACACACACACACACACACACACACACACACACACACACUUCUUUACAAGCUCUACUGUUUAGUUUUGUUUCUCUAUUUCUAGUCAGUGGACAUCAGGAGAGACUUCCUUGGCAUGAUAAGGGGUCCAGAGACUCGACUCUAUACUGGUUUGAAACCACAGAGACACAACGCCUGCAUCACAAGGGAUUCCCUUAUUCUACCAAUGCAGAGAACUGUUUCACUGGCAUACAGGUCGUUGAGCCAAAACUGCAGCUGCUGCCCACUGAACCUCAUCACGACCCUUCAGCUGUCGUUCUGCCUCUCAGUGCCGGUGAAAUGAGCAGCGCCCGGCGCAAUGUUCAGUUCCUCUCUGCAGACUCCUUCAGCUUCCAGCAGUCUGGGGUAUUGUACAGUGCUGCAGCUGACACACACACUGGAGACUGUCACCGUGGAACUUGAGGACUAUGUGCAACUCUUGAAAAAGGUGACCUGCACUUUCCUGUAUGCGGGUCCAGGUGGUCAGGUGGACACCUCCACUUGGGUGCAGGAAGAGAAUUGUUGCUCUCCAGACAGUGAUGCAGAAAGUGAACCAGGCUGGGAGGUAAUUCCAUGUUUCAGACCCGAUGUGUAUCUACGCUGCUUUUCCCCUGAAUGUGCGUCUGUAAAAUUUACUGUGGGAGGUUUAAUGAUUCAUUGCUCAUUUGACUCGCAGGAGACUGAGCAGGGCCUCACGCCAGAAGAUGGAGGUGCCCUUUAUUAGAUGCUCUAUUAGUGAAACACUAGAGUUGCUUUAUUAUAGAAAGCAAAUCAGUUCUCAAUGUCCAUCACUAUUCAUCAAAACACAUAUUAAAAACAAAAACAUAUAUUAAAAGGUCUUCAUGGAACAGCUUCAUCCAAUCAUAAUUCCUACAUCUUCCUCCAAGUGGAUUUACCUUAUAUUGUGCAUGUGUAUGGAUCAUGAAGACCUCACAGCUCCAAGAUUCCCGAUUCGAUCCUGAGCUCAGGAUACUGUUUACUGUUUACUGACCGUCCCAGCAAAUUCAGUCCAUAAUCAGAAAGAGAUUGUGCAAAUGUGACCUGCAUGGGAGGCGAGCCAGUUUGCCAAUGAGCAUAUAGGCAAAGACCAGGCCUUUUAGAAUAAUGUGCUCUGGACAGACGCAUCAAAGAUAGAGUUGUUUGGCAACAAUAAUAGUGGACAUGUUUGGUGCAGACUAGGGCUGCACAAUUAAUCGGAUAUAGAUCACGAUUACGAUUUUGACUGCCCAUGAUUACAUGAACAUGAUCGGCUGCGAUAUUAACGUUUAAAGUUCGUCCUCCGCUCAUAGAAAACUCACAUAGAGCGGCGCAGUGGUGACGUCGUUUUGUAGUGCCAAACCCGGAAACAGUUAACAUUUUAGCGCUCGAGCUGCCAAUUUCGCUUCGAGCUCCAGUACUUGUGCGAGGGAAAAUCAUGACAUUAACAUGAUGCUAAAUGGCACUACAGAGGUUGUCGGGGACAUUAAAAGUUAUCACGCUGAACAGGGAAAAACUUUGCAGGUAAACUCAGGGCUCUACAGUGGGACCAUUUCACUCGUAUUUGCGACUGAAGAGUAUUUUGUGCGACUGUGAAUAAAUAUUUAUUCGGACCGGUUCGAGUGACCUGUUAUGAGUUGUAUAAUACAAUCGGAAUAAAAACUACAGGAAGUCCAAAAUGCAUCUACAUCAGUUACUUUCACACUGCUUUUCAUCUCGUCAGUCAACGAAUAAGUGUGUGAAUACUGCAGAGAAGCCAUUAUGAUGACAAGAGUAACACCGAACAUCAUCUGCUUCUCUCAACUUCCCAACCUCACAACCGCCGUCUUAUAUUGAUCCCGCAAAAUGACCUGCACCUACUCGUGUAGACACAGCGGCGUUGGGCGGAGCAAAUUAAUAAUAAUGCCAACGCUAAUAUGGAGCAUGCUUGUGUUAAUCUACUUUUAAUUAGGACUAUUGUUUAAGAUUUUUUAAAAUAAAUAUUUUUAUUAUGCUUGUUUAUUUAUCAAUUAACCAACAGUAUUUCUCAUUGCUAUUAUUUUAACUCAAUUAACAGUGACCGUGAGCAGAGAGCUUACAUUUAACUGUUUAUGACAGACUUCCUGAUUAAAGUUUAAACAAAAAAGAUUGGUAUCUGGAUCGGUUUCGGUCGAAAAAAUUCUGAUCGGAGCAUCCCUAAUGAACACCAUUAAACUAAAGCGCUUUGCAUCUGACGGGUAAAUGAACUCACCCAAUCACAUCCUAUAUCAGAUUAUUCAGAUAUAUACACAAUAUACACAGAACGGUUCGAGACCUGACUCCAGCCCAGAACCAUGACAGUGGAAAAUGUCUAAUAGUGUAGCUUUAAAUAUAUUUAAGAGGAGCAGACUGCAAACACUGAACACUGAUGUUUAUUGUAUUAGUUUACAAGGUGGACAUGGUAGCAGUGUUUUUUUUUGCAUACAGUCUGUAAAUGAACUGAAAAUAUUAAAUUUAGUUUAUCAGAAGGUAAAUUAAUUUGUUAUAGCUCACACUAUGUUCCUAAAUUCUGUCAUAACUAACCAGCUCAAGUUUCGUCAUGCCUACUUGUGUGUUAUAUUGUGGCACAUUAACGCUACAAUCUCUAAAAAAAAAAAAAAAAAAAUUGUAAUUAGGUGCACAAGUGCUCCUAAAAGAAACUGUCUUGCGUCUCUCCUCCUGUAAACGCUGUUAUUGCCUUUUCUGCAUAGGAAGCUGAAAUGUCACAUGUAAACAUAAUUAGAAUAUUAUUGUGGUAUGUGACAUACCUUACUGUGAAUUUAAUCUUGGCAGUUGACAUUACACUGAUUAAAAAAGCCAGAUAACACUGCUGAUAAAGUCGAAUAAAAAACACACUUAGAGGAACACUUUCUACUGAAUAAGACUGGAAUUUAUUUCUCUCAGGCAAUCUCAAUUUGCCUGAGAUAUGAAAACUGCAGAACAGAGUAAUGCAAUGGAGGUUUCAGCCCUGUGUGUAUUUCCCUACAUGAAUUUUCUGACAUACGAUAACAGCUAAGCAUUAUAACCAUAAAACCUGGAAACAUGCAUUUUAGAGAUUCAAUGUUUCUGAUUACUUAGCAAAAAAUUUCGGCUAGAAGGGGAGCGGAUUAAUGAGAAGCUUGUGAAACAUUUUUACAAUGUUAUAGAAAAAUGUCACGGUAUAAAAAUUCCUUCUAAUCAACAGUUAAAAACACAUGCAAUGCUGUUAGG